AGAGAGAGAGAGAGAGAGAGAGAGAGAGAGAGAGAUGCAGAAAGGGAGAAAGAAUGUAUUGCUUCCUUUUCUCCUCCUCCUCCUCCUCCUCGACAUAAAAGAUAAGAACGACAACAAUGCAAGAAGAGAGAAGGGAGAAGAGAAGAUUCCUCCUCCUCCUCUUCUUCUUCCUCUUUAUCCUUCUCCUCCUCUCCAUAAGGGAAGGAAAACACAAGGCAGACAGUAAUAUGGAAACGAAAAAGAACGCGAGGAGAGAAAAGAAGAAGAGAGAAGACUUGCUACUAUUACGAACUCCUCUUCUCCUCCUCCUCCUCCUCCUCUUCUUCAUAAAGGAAAGAAAGAACAAGGAAGACAGUAAUAUGGAAACGAGAAAGAACGCACAAAAAAAAAAAAAAAAAAAAAAAAAAGACGCUAUUACCAACUCCUCCUCCACCUCUUCCUCCUCCUCCUCACACGCCAUCUGGACGCAUCCCAGGUGUAGUUUCCCCGCUCUCAGCCAGGUAAAAACAGCACAGAGGCGUGACAGUGACCACCCCGCAGACACCCGCCGCUCACGACUUCGACCACACCUCAGCACUUGGGUUCCUCCUCUCCGCUACGUCGACGCAGGUAACCAUCAUCUGCUCACCUGUCUACAAGUGUCUACUCAGGCGAGAUCGUACCUGAGAUGAAAAGGAAAGGACUGACUCACUGGCUGAAUGGCUGGGUCGCUACCUGUUCAAUUAACCAACAGAUACACCUCUCCUAUACACCUGUAGCGGAUGUGUUUGUGCCUACCUGGUCAACCCUUCAAGAUACUACGAAUCUUCACACCUAGAUUGACUGAUUGGUUACUUGCUCCAUCCCUCCUCGACGUUACGCCAAAGGAAAACCUGUUAUAUGUUACUUUCAAUGUCUCGCUCGCAUACUAUCAUUACUCCACUAAAGGGAAAGUGAAGUGGCUAGCUGGGUGUGUGUCUGACUGGCUGGCUGGGUGACCGGGUGCUAGCUAAGAAAAACUUGCCGUGCUGAGGUCCGCGCAUGAUAAGAAAAACUGCUAAAGAACGACCGGAAAAUAAACGACUGGAUUUGAUUGCGGUGAUGUAAUGCGCGUUUUUUCUGUUUCGAAAGUGAGAUAAAAAAGCUAAGUAGACCAAGAAAUGAUGAUGGACUGAGAAACGAAGAAAUGGGGUCCGCCCGUGAUAAGAAAAACUGCUAAAGAACGACCGGGAAAUAAACGAUUGGAUUUGAUUGAUGUCAUGUAAUGCGCGUUUUUUUUUUUUGUUUGAAAAGUGAGAUAAAAGAGCUAAGUAGACCAAGGGAUGACGAGAGGCUGAAAAAACUUGUCGAAUUGAGGUACACACGUGAUAAGAAAAACUGAUGAAGAACCGACGGAAAAUAAAAGACUGGAUUUAAUUAAGAUGUGAUGUGUCUUUGUUUGAAAAUAAAUAGAAAAAAAGCAUGGAGAUUAAGCAAUGGUUGACUGAAAAAAAUUAGUGAACCUGAUGUAUAUGAAAAAUGACGUGAUAAGAGAACUGUGGAAUAGAAGACUGAAUUAAAUUGGGGUGAUACGAUGCGUUUGUGUUUGAAAUAAAGUGAGAUAAAAACUAAGAGGUAAAGAAGUGAAGAUGGCCUUGGAAUGAGAUGAAAACUGAUUACAAGGAUGUGAGCCUUAUAAAAAAAUGAUGCAGCUUUACUGAAAAAGAUAAAAGAAUACAUGUAGAAAUAUAUUGAAAAGAAGAUGGAAAAAAAAUUACGACCACGAGGAGAUUACGAAAGAGUCAAGAUGUUUUUAGAUAUUAUGAAAACUGAGUGAGUACAGGACUUUACACGUUAUUAAGAUGCUGAACAUGUAGAUAGAAAAAAAAUGAGGAGCAAGAAAAUGGAAGAAAUUACAAAACGAUAAAGAAGACGCAUGCUAUAAAAAGAAAUAAAAAACUGAAAGAACAAAUGAAGGUUUCGCUGAAUGUUACGCAGUAUGAAAAAGACAUGCGUAAAGUUAUUAAUAAAGACAAUAUAGACAAAAAUAAAUGCUUCGUGUGACGCGAGUUCGAUAUUUUGAGGUGUACUAAUUAAUACAUACACGAUAACUUUACCUGCCGAAGUGUUAAUUAGCGAAGAAAAGGUGAAUGGAAACAAAUGAAGGUGUAAAAUGACAGUUAUCAAAGAAAGAAAAAAAGGUAAUAACAGAUACAUAUUGUCGAGAGUGAUAUAGAUAAUUAGAUGAACUGAGGCGACAUCCAUUAGUCUUCCAAGGUUGAGGUUACUUCUAUAUAUAAACUCACAGGUGUAAAUAGUGUUAAAAUAAGUGCAUAGAGGAAACAAAGGGAAAGGAAAACAGAACGUAAUGAAAUGUUAAUGUGCCAAAGCUUAAAUAGUAAAACAAUAGACGAAAAUAAUAACAAGAAGUGUGAAAGAAAGCAAUUGAAAGUAA
Long non-coding RNA from Eriocheir sinensis (Chinese mitten crab), 2413 nucleotides. RefSeq lists it as uncharacterized. Lineage: Eukaryota; Metazoa; Arthropoda; Malacostraca; Decapoda; Varunidae. The record is from RefSeq and is a predicted model, not a curated record. The transcript is spliced from 2 exons.